GUGUAUGUGUGUGGGUGUAUGUGUGUAGGUGUACUUGUGUAGGUGUAUGUGUGUGGGUGUAUGUGUGUAGGUGUAUGUGUGUAGGUGUAUGUGUGUGGGUGUAUGUGUGUAGGUGUACUUGUGUAGGUGUAUGUGUGUGGGUGUAUGUGUGUAGGUGUAUGUGUGUAGGUGUAUGUGUGUGGGUGUAUGUGUGUGGGUGUAUGUGUGUAGGUGUACUUGUGUAGGUGUAUGUGUGUGGGUGUAUGUGUGUAGGUGUAUGUGUGUAGGUGUAUGUG
Long non-coding RNA from Oncorhynchus keta (chum salmon), 275 nucleotides. RefSeq lists it as uncharacterized. The transcript has 3 exons. NCBI's taxonomy places the organism in Eukaryota, Metazoa, Chordata, Actinopteri, Salmoniformes, Salmonidae. The record is from RefSeq and is a predicted model, not a curated record.